UAGGGAAUCUUCGGCAAUGGGCGAAAGCCUGACCGAGCAACGCCGCGUGAGCGAUGAAGGCCUUCGGGUCGUAAAGCUCUGUUGUUAGAGAAGAACAAGUACGAGAGUAACUGCUCGUACCUUGACGGUACCUAACCAGAAAGCCACGGCUAACUACGUGCCAGCAGCCGCGGUAAUACGUAGGUGGCAAGCGUUAUCCGGAAUUAUUGGGCGUAAAGCGCGCGCAGGCGGUCUCUUAAGUCUGAUGUGAAAGCCCACGGCUCAACCGUGGAGGGUCAUUGGAAACUGGGAGACUUGAGUGCAGGAGAGAAAAGUGGAAUUCCACGUGUAGCGGUGAAAUGCGUAGAGAUGUGGAGGAACACCAGUGGCGAAGGCGGCUUUUUGGCCUGUAACUGACGCUGAGGCGCGAAAGCGUGGGGAGCAAACAGGAUUAGAUACCCUGGUAGUCCACGCCGUAAACGAUGAGUGCUAGGUGUU
RNAcentral lists this ribosomal RNA (477 nucleotides) under uncultured Bacillota bacterium. RNAcentral's name for it is "bacterial SSU rRNA". It matches the Rfam family "Bacterial small subunit ribosomal RNA", at positions 355 to 824 of the family's 1533-position model. The record is from RNAcentral. Lineage: Bacteria; Bacillati; Bacillota.